Long non-coding RNA from Esox lucius (northern pike), 547 nucleotides. RefSeq lists it as uncharacterized. NCBI's taxonomy places the organism in Eukaryota, Metazoa, Chordata, Actinopteri, Esociformes, Esocidae. The record is from RefSeq and is a predicted model, not a curated record. The transcript is spliced from 3 exons.
UCAUCUUCAAAAUGCAGUCGUCCGUUGUCAGCUGGAAAGGUUAUGACUGCGGAUGCAAAUUAUUUUCGCGCUAACCAGAAAACGCUCUGACGUGAGCUUACACAGGGCCCAGAUGGAGGACAGAGGACAGGGAUACCGGCACAGGCGAAGCGUCAUCACAGCACCGCAAUCAUCUGGUUCCUUCUAUCCUUCUUUGCGCGGCCAAAGGUCCCCAAAGGUCACUGGCUCACUCUGUUUGUGCCAGCAACAGACAAAGCCGUUUACACGACAUCAAAGAGUCAGGGUAGGAGCGGAGACCUGUCCGUCAAGCCAGCGUUUGAGGUGCCUUCCGGAGGUUUCUGCUCCACAGUCUUACAUUAAGAAUAUUAAAGAGCUUAUUGAUAUGUAACGUAUUACUGUAAUGUAUUUUGCCUUGUGGAACCUACUAUGACAAUAAACGGCCAUUUGGCAUUCCUUGUCUAAUGUUGUCAUUUACAUUUCCGAAUGAGUGUGUGUGUGUUUUGGUAUUUACCAGUUUUGUACGUAUUGUUGUACUUUCAUUGUGUCA